This 303-nucleotide unclassified non-coding RNA is filed under the name uncultured fungus. RNAcentral's name for it is "partial contains 5.8S rRNA and ITS2". The record is from RNAcentral. Lineage: Eukaryota; Fungi.
AACGCACAUUGCACUCUUUUGAGUAUGCCUGUUUGAGAAUCUAUUGUAUUCAUUUUGACUACUCUUGGUAGCCAGAGAUAUGAGUUUCCCUGCAAAGGGUUGCUUGAAAUAGAUAGCUCGGUCUGGAAAAAAGCGACGACGUUUCUCUUAACCGCAGAAAAGUAUUUGAAUGGAACUCUGUUUCUUACUGUGCCGAAUAUGUGGUGGGAAAAAGAGUUUUUUGAUAGAGCGAUGUCCAUAAUUAUAAAGUCGCAAGACUUGAACCAUGGUCUCAAAUCAGGUAGGAAGACCCGCUGAACUUAA